UUUUACAAUGGAGAGUUUGAUCCUGGCUCAGGAUGAACGCUAGCUACAGGCUUAACACAUGCAAGUCGAGGGGAAACGAUAUUGGAAGCUUGCUUCCGAUAGGCGUCGACCGG
This 113-nucleotide ribosomal RNA is filed under the name Segatella copri. RNAcentral's name for it is "partial 16S ribosomal RNA". Lineage: Bacteria; Pseudomonadati; Bacteroidota; Bacteroidia; Bacteroidales; Prevotellaceae. The record is from RNAcentral.